GACGAACGCUGGCGGCGUGCCUAAUACAUGCAAGUCGGGCGGACCGAACGAGGGGUUGCUCUUGUUUGGUCAACGGCGGACGGGUGAGUAAAACGUGGGCAACCUCCCCGCAAGACCUGGAUAACUCCGGGAAACCGGAGCUAAUGCCGGGUAACACCGAAGACCGCAUGGUCUUCGGUUGAAAGGCGGCCUUUGGGCUGUCACUUGCUGAUGGGCCCGCGGCGGAUUUGCUAGUUGGUGACGUAAGGCCGCACCAGGGCGACGAUGCGUAGCCGGCCUGAGAGGGUGAGAGGCCUAACUGGGAGUGGGACACGGCCAGGGACACUACGGGAGGCAGCGGUAGGGAACAUUUCGCAAAGGGAGGAGGCCUGACGGAGGGACGCCGCGUGAGCGAAGAAGGCCGUCGGGUCGUAAAGGUCUGUUGUGCGUGAGGAAGGAGUGGCGUUCGAAGAGGGGGGCGCAGUGACGGUACCUGACGAGAAAGCCCCGGCUAACUACGUG
This 501-nucleotide ribosomal RNA is filed under the name uncultured bacterium. RNAcentral describes it as "partial 16S ribosomal RNA". It matches the Rfam family "Bacterial small subunit ribosomal RNA", at positions 28 to 507 of the family's 1533-position model. The record is from RNAcentral.